ACACCCUCACCCCAGCAGCCUGCCGUGAGCCGCCUCCUCCUCCUCCUCCUCCACCCCCCAACCCCCCCUGGACGUGUGGUGUAAUAAUGUAGUUAUUUAACUCGCUGGGUACAAAGGAUGUGAAUAAUGUAAAUAGAGCUCGGCCGGGGGGGGGUGGGCGUGUGGGGGCUGCUGAGGGGGGGGGGGGGGCUGCCCGCGCCCUCGUGUCAGUGUCGUGCAUUUGGACAACCUCCAACAAUAAUACACGGACAAGCGCCCGCGCCUCGCCUCGCUGCGUCCCCGGGGAUGAGGGGUUUGGGAGGCAAAUGGCGGGGUUCAGGCCCCUGACGGGGCGCUGAGGGGACCGGGCCCCGCCCGCCAGGGCCCCGCCGCCAUUUUGCGGCCCUCCCUGGCGCCAGGGAGCGGGCGAGGGAGAGGGAGGCGGAAGCCGCGGCCUGAGCCGCGCUGAGCGGGGGGGAUGCUGGGAGUUGUAGUCCGCGCGGCGCUGCCGGCGGAAGGGAGAAGCGGGGGGGUGGACUACGACUCCCGGCAGCCCCCGCGGGAGGGAGGGCGCGAAGCGGAAGUGCGUGAGGGGAGGUGGAGGCGCCUGCCUGCUGCCGCCGCCGCUGCUGCUGCUGAGGAGGCCGCGGGCGGAGCGGGGCCGGUGAGAGCUCAACUGCUUCUCCUAAAGCAACGUUCAGGAACAUCCUUGAUGGGAGACCUGUACAAGGUGUGUUUCCUGAUUUCAUAA
Molecule: long non-coding RNA, 730 nt
Filed under: Anas platyrhynchos (mallard)
Lineage: Eukaryota; Metazoa; Chordata; Aves; Anseriformes; Anatidae
Description: lncRNA (ENSAPLG00020010854.1)
Source: RNAcentral